Molecule: long non-coding RNA, 871 nt
Filed under: Parus major (Great Tit)
Lineage: Eukaryota; Metazoa; Chordata; Aves; Passeriformes; Paridae
Description: lncRNA (ENSPMJG00000000374.1)
Source: RNAcentral
UUUACUGUUGCAUCCUUAGGAAGUUGAAAAUUGCAUAAAAUAUAUAGAUAAUUGAGAUGUGAUUUCUCCAGCAAAUCUUACAGCUUUUGUGUGUUUAACUGCAGCACUUUUACUCAGGAGAGGCCAUCUGAGGAUCAGCACCACUGGACAGUGAUUUCUCCUGCUUAAGAGUUUCUUUUGUGACUAUGUCUCAAGCUCAUCUGGGUCUGAUAUCAUGUGUCCAACAGAGCUCUACAUCCCAGGCUGAAAAAUAUCCUUGAAAACCCAUUCAGGAACUGCUGAACCCAAGUGUUUUCUGAAGCCUGUUUCUUUUGCUGAACAGCCAGCAGGUCUGCUCUGUGGAAAAUGUGCUGCUGCAAUUUUCUGGUUGGUGUAGAAAAUUUCACCUCUAUCAAGUAAUCCUCACUGCCUGGUUCACUACCAAAAUUUAAUGGAUCCUACUCAGCAGAGUAGCUGUUGGAUCACCAAUUCUUCUGGAUGUCAGAAGCAUGGCCAAGAGCCUUGGCCAAGGCGUUUCUCUGAGCCCUGGUUCCCACCCUCUCCUCACCCAGAGGAGCGGAAAGGCUGCCAGCUCCGACAGCAGCAGCGCGGCAUCCGUGUGUCUGGGCUCCACGGCAGUGGGCACGGCAGACACCGGGGGCUCUUCCUGCCAAGCAGAGGUGACAGGGAAAUAGGAUCCAGUGCCUACGCUUCCCCAGCCUACGUGGGGAGCUCUGUGCCAUCCCCUCCUGCCGAGCCCGGCUGGAAUGGAAGUCCCGGGAAGUGUACAGGAGUAUACAGGAGUGUACAGGAUUGUGCAAUAGUGUACAGGAGUGUACAGUUGUGUGCAAUAGUGUACAGGUGUGUGCAGGAGUGUGCAAUAGUGUACAGG